Molecule: small nuclear RNA, 103 nt
Filed under: Erinaceus europaeus (western European hedgehog)
Lineage: Eukaryota; Metazoa; Chordata; Mammalia; Eulipotyphla; Erinaceidae
Description: U4 spliceosomal RNA
Rfam family: U4 spliceosomal RNA
About the family: U4 small nuclear RNA (U4 snRNA) is a component of the major U2-dependent spliceosome. The structure of U4 snRNA from yeast and human has been reported. U4 snRNA presents a k-turn RNA motif in the 5p-SL related to recognition of Snu13 protein.
Source: Rfam by way of RNAcentral
AGCUUUGCACAGUGGCAGUAUCGUAGCCAAUGAGGUUUAUCUGAGGCACGAUUAUUGCAAAUUAAAUAAAAUCUUUUAAAAAUUUUUAAAAAUUAGCAUGUAA